UACAGAGGUGGCAAGCGUUGUUCGGAAUUACUGGGCGUAAAGGGCGCGUAGGUGGCCUUUUGAGUCAGACGUGAAAUCCCCCGGCUUAACCUGGGAACUGCGUCUGAUACUGGAAGGCUUGAGUUCGGGAGAGGGAUGUGGAAUUCCAGGUGUAGCGGUGAAAUGCGUAGAUAUCUGGAGGAACACCGGUGGCGAAGGCGGCAUCCUGGACCAAUUCUGACGCUGAGGAGCGAAAGCCAGGGGAGCAAACGGG
RNAcentral lists this ribosomal RNA (253 nucleotides) under uncultured bacterium. Its description in RNAcentral is "partial 16S ribosomal RNA". It matches the Rfam family "Bacterial small subunit ribosomal RNA", at positions 524 to 776 of the family's 1533-position model. The record is from RNAcentral.